AUCAGCACCGGCCCCAUCUCCCUAGCAGGAAGCUGGGCAGCCACUGCAGGCCAGGUGUGGACGACCCUCACAACUCUCCCAUCUGCGUGGACAUCGCUGGACGGGGUGUGUACAAUUCAGUGGUUUUUAGCAUGUUCACGAAGUUGUGCAACCAUCCCCACUCAUCUCACUCCGGAACACGUUCAUCAUCCGCAGAAGACGUCCUGUGCCUGUUAGCAACCGCUCCCCGCCACGGUUUGAGUGAGGCCACAACAGAACAUCAGACAGCAGUUUAUCAACAGAGACUUCCUGCCUCCCCGUCUGGAGGCCAAGGGCCCUUAUAAAAGGGCUAGAAGGAACUAGCUUGGCUGUUUUUCCUCCGAAUUCUGCCAUGUGAGGCUGGAUACGCCAUUGGAGCUGCCCUCAGCAGACCCCAGCCUGCCGGCACCUGGAUCUUGGACUCCCCAGCUUGAGAACUACAGGAAAUAAAUUUCUGUUGCUUAUAAAUUACUCAGUCUGAGGUGUUUUGUUACAGCAGCGGGGAUGGACUAAGACCCUUCCCAUUUUCCCCCAGCUGUGCCCUCGCCCCCAGCCCCGGGCAGCUGGGAGUCUACUCUGUGUCACCGUGGACCUGCCCAUUCCAGACAUUUGACAUAAAUGGUCUCAUGUGAUAUGUGGCCGUCUGCGUCUGACCUCCUUCACUUGGCAAAUGUUUGCGAGGUUCAUCCACUUUGGAGCAUGGGCCAGAGCUUCAUUCCUUUUUACGGGUGAAGAAUAGUGUGGGGCCAGGCCACAAUGUGCCCAUCUGUCCCUCAGCAGAUGGACAUGUAGGCUGUGCCCACCUUUGGGCUAUUGUGAAUAAUGCUACCAGGAACAUUUGUGGAUAAGCUUUUGUGUGGAUAAGCUUUUGUUUCUGAUUCUCGGGGACGUGUACCCAGGAGUGGGAUUGCUGGGUCACAUGGAAUUCGGCUUCACACUUUGAAGAACAGAACAGCCGCAUGUGAGGUUCCCACGUCUCCGCCCUGACACCUAUGAUGCUUUCGGUUCCAGCCAUCCCAGUGGGUGUGAGGUGUGGUCUCGUGUGGUUUUUAUUUGCAUUUCCCUGGUGGCUAAUGGUGUUAAGCAGCUUGUCAUGAGCUUGUUGGCUGGUCGCAUAUAUUAUUUGGAAAAAACAUCUAUUCAAAUUCUUUUGCCUUUUUUUUUUGAGUUAGAGUCUCUCUCUGUCACCCAGGCUGGAGUGCAGUGGCGCGAUCUCAGCUCACUGCAACCUCUGCCUCCCAGGUUCAAGCAAUUCUCUUGCCUCUGCCUCCUGAGUAGCUGGGAUUACAGGCGUGCACCACCACGUGGUGGCUAAUUGUUGUAUUUUUAGUAGAGAUGUGGUUUCACCACGUUGGCCAGGCUGGUCUCAAACUCCUGACCUCAAAUGGUCCCCCCAGCUUGGCCUCCCAAAGUGCUGGGAUUACAGGCGUGAGCCACUGCGCCCGGCCUCUCCCAGUUUGCCCAUUUUUUAACUAGGUUGUUUAUCUUUGUAUUGCUGAGCUGUGAGAGUUCUUUAGCACACUGGUUUUUCACUACCUUACCCUGGAGCCGAUACACAUCCUUUCUGCUCAGUCAUUAGCCAGAAAUGCAGAGAAAUGCUACUGUGUGACCCCAUGACCUCAGCCUGAUGUGCAGGGGUCCCCAGAAUAUUAGACGGGCACUGACUGUCUGCAGGAUACAGACCCGGGAGGGUGGCUUUGCACUGCUGAUCUGAACACAGCCUCUCACUGAUUCAAAACGUCCUUUUGGCGUGUCUGUAAUGCCUGCGUGUUCACCGUUCGCAUUGUUACUGUGAGCGACCCACGCACCAGCUCCACACGGGGCUCCCUAGGUGCAGCCUCCGGUGUGUGUUAAAACCUGGUGGCCACGGUUCCCUUGUUCAUCUUUUGUUCCAGAAUUUCCUUAGUUUUCUUACUUAUUUUUCCACGUUAACUUCACAAUCAAUCUACCUGAUUCCAGGGUUCUCCGGUGUUUUAAUUGGCCCCGCUGUGGCAGCCGGCCAGCACGAGGGACGGCACCUCGUGACGCCCAGGACAGACCGGGCUUGUUGCUGGUCUGUGGUCCUCAGUCAGGCCUCAGACCCUCUAUAACAGGUAUAGAUGUGCCCGCCGUUUGCUCCUAGAAAUUUACAAUUUUUGUUGCUGUUGGGAAUGGUCCCUUUUCUUUCUUCAUUGUCUCUCCUAACUGGAAGUGCUUGAAUUUGAAAGAUGCUGAUUCCUGACUCUGAAUUUUGUGCACAGCCACCCUCCGAAACUCACCUCUGCCUUCUAAUCAGUUUUCCGGGUCUAUGAGGAGUCGCAGCAGGCUGUGCUCGGGUG
This 2336-nucleotide long non-coding RNA is filed under the name Homo sapiens (human). RNAcentral's name for it is "non-protein coding lnc-MAEA-9:4". Lineage: Eukaryota; Metazoa; Chordata; Mammalia; Primates; Hominidae. The record is from RNAcentral.